CAUUUAGAGGAAGUAAAAGUCGUAACAAGGUUUCCGUAGGUGAACCUGCGGAAGGAUCAUUAUUGAAAUAAACCUGAUGAGUUGUUGCUGGUUCUCUAGGGAGCAUGUGCACACUCGUCAUCUUUGUAUAUUCACCUGUGCAUCUUUUGUAGACCCUUGGGUAUCUCUCUGAUUGCUUUUAGCACUCAGGAUUGAGGAUUGACUUCCUGUCUCUUCUUACAUUUCCAGGUCUAUGUUUCUUAAUAUACCCUAAUGUAUGUUUAUAGAAUGUAAUUAAUGGGCCUUUGUGCCUAUAAAUCUAUACAACUUUCAGCAACGGAUCUCUUGGCUCUCGCAUCGAUGAAGAACGCAGCGAAAUGCGAUAAGUAAUGUGAAUUGCAGAAUUCAGUGAAUCAUCGAAUCUUUGAACGCACCUUGCGCUCCUUGGUAUUCCGAGGAGCAUGCCUGUUUGAGUGUCAUUAAUAUAUCAACCUCUCUGGUUGGAUGUGGGUUUGCUGGCCACUUGAGGUCAGCUCCCCUUAAAUGCAUUAGCGGACAACAUUUUGCUAAACGUUCAUUGGUGUGAUAAUUAUCUACACUCUUGAUGUGAAGCAGGUUCAGCUUCUAACAGUCCAUUGACCUUGGAUAAAAUUUUAUUUAUUAAUGUGACCUCAAAUCAGGUAGGACUACCCGCUGAACUUAAGCAUAUCAAUAAGCGGA
RNAcentral lists this ribosomal RNA (699 nucleotides) under Calonarius amnicola. RNAcentral's name for it is "eukaryotic LSU rRNA". The stretch from base 305 to 458 matches the Rfam family "5.8S ribosomal RNA". The record is from RNAcentral. Lineage: Eukaryota; Fungi; Basidiomycota; Agaricomycetes; Agaricales; Cortinariaceae.